This 484-nucleotide ribosomal RNA is filed under the name uncultured bacterium. RNAcentral describes it as "bacterial SSU rRNA". It matches the Rfam family "Bacterial small subunit ribosomal RNA", at positions 30 to 507 of the family's 1533-position model. The record is from RNAcentral.
AUUGAACGCUGGCGGCAUGCCUUACACAUGCAAGUUGAACGGCAGCACGGGAGCAAUUCUGGUGGCGAGUGGCGAACGGGUGAGUAAUACAUUGGGACGUGCCCCAUUGUGGGGGAUAACGCAGCGAAAGCUGUGCUAAUUCCGCCUGAGAUUUACGGAUGAAAACAGGGGGCCGCAAGGCCCUGCGCGAAUGGAGCGGCCGAUGGCAGAUUAGGUAGUUGGUGGGGGAAAGGCUCCCCCAACCAACGAUUUGUAGCUGGUUUGAGAGGGCGGCCCGCCCCCCUGGGAAUGAGACCCGGCCCCGACUCCUUCGGGAGGCCGCCGUGGGGAAUUUUGGGCAAAGGGGGCAAGCCUGAUCCCGCCAUGCCGCGUGCAGGAAGAAGGCCUUCGGGGUGUAAAAUGCUUUUGUACGGAACGAAAAGGUUCUUUUUAAUAAAGAGAGCUCAUGACGGUACCGUAAGAAUAAGCCCCGGCUAACUACGUG